RNAcentral lists this transfer RNA (73 nucleotides) under Zingiber officinale. RNAcentral describes it as "tRNA-Asp". The record is from RNAcentral. Lineage: Eukaryota; Viridiplantae; Streptophyta; Magnoliopsida; Zingiberales; Zingiberaceae.
GCGGGGAAGAGCUAAGUUAGUUAGAGUGCUGGUCCGUCAUGCCAGAAGUAGCGGGUUCGAACCCCUCCCGGUG